Ribosomal RNA from Lupinus angustifolius (narrow-leaved blue lupine), 190 nucleotides. It matches the Rfam family "Bacterial small subunit ribosomal RNA", at positions 918 to 1380 of the family's 1533-position model. NCBI's taxonomy places the organism in Eukaryota, Viridiplantae, Streptophyta, Magnoliopsida, Fabales, Fabaceae. The record is from Rfam.
GGCGCCUAUACUCGGUCAAUGGAGUCAACUGCUAGGACUGGCAUUGGAUUCGGCCGCCAGUUAUUUUGCUAUUGGUGGCACAUGGUCAACCUGUCCUCAGUUCGGAUUGUAGGCUACAAUUCGCCUGCAUGAAGCCGGAAUCGCUAGCAAUCACCGGUCAGCCAUACAGCGGUGAAUUCGUUCCUGAGCC